This 45-nucleotide ribosomal RNA is filed under the name Ganoderma lucidum. Its description in RNAcentral is "partial 18S ribosomal RNA". It matches the Rfam family "Eukaryotic small subunit ribosomal RNA", at positions 1787 to 1831 of the family's 1831-position model. Lineage: Eukaryota; Fungi; Basidiomycota; Agaricomycetes; Polyporales; Polyporaceae. The record is from RNAcentral. RNAcentral also lists the same sequence under 4 other names.
AAUCGUAACAAGGUUUCCGUAGGUGAACCUGCGGAAGGAUCAUUA